UGGGGUGUCAAAGCAUAUCCAUUCUCAGUAACUAGAGAAGAUGAGCUUUGGGAAGAACAUGGAUGGUCGAUGCAGCUCUUGCUUGAUGGAAUUCAUCCUGCAUUUGAAACAUGGGUAAGGUUUUCUCAUUCUAAGUUUAAAAAAUUUAAAUUCUUUUGAUCAGAUUGUGAUGAUGAGACUCUUGUUCAACUCCAUGAAUCAGGUGAAACAAGGAAGUGAAAUCUGCAUAUUCGGAAGCGAGAAUUUGGAUUGGGUUGAUGAAUUUGUGUCACUAGCAAGAAAGAUUCAGAAUCUAGGGUUCCAAUUAGAGCUAGUUUACCUCAGCAACGAGCGAACAAAAGCCAUGGAAGAGAGCUCAAUCUUGUUCAGUCCUACAGUACAACAGCUCUUCUGGCUACGAUUAGAAAGCAUCGAACGAUCCAAACUAAAGCGAACUGAACCAUCGAAACCUGAUCGUGUUUUCGAAGAAGUUACGAAACUUCUCGACUUCGAUUACGGUAAACACAAGGGUUGGGGGAUCAUCGGAAAAGGAUCAGAAGCGGUGACGG
This 548-nucleotide long non-coding RNA is filed under the name Capsella grandiflora. RNAcentral's name for it is "long non-coding RNA (CGRA_LNC000741)". Lineage: Eukaryota; Viridiplantae; Streptophyta; Magnoliopsida; Brassicales; Brassicaceae. The record is from RNAcentral.